This is a long non-coding RNA of Daucus carota subsp. sativus, 444 nucleotides long. RefSeq lists it as uncharacterized. The record is from RefSeq and is a predicted model, not a curated record. The transcript is spliced from 3 exons. Lineage: Eukaryota; Viridiplantae; Streptophyta; Magnoliopsida; Apiales; Apiaceae.
AGGGGACUGAUAAGCCACAAAUAAGAAUGACUAUCUCAGAUAGAAGGUAGUGUCUAAAUCCGUUUACAAUAAACCCGUUUACAUAUCUAACAAUGCUAGGUAUAUAUGUUAUAGGACUUACUUAAACGUUACUCUCUGGAACGAUUUGGCUGAGUGCUUUCAACAAGAAAUUAGUUCAACUAAAUUUGAGGAACCUAUGAUUGUUAUCAUUGCAGUUGGGAAAGUAGGGGUGUUUCAAGAUGAAUUUGAUAUUUGCAACUUCUCACCAACAACAUACUACAUCAACUAUGAUCACCAUAGUGUGGCAGAGUUACGCAAAGUGAGUGGACAACCACAGUUUAAGAUGCAAUAGGGCCGGAUUGUUCAAGCAAAAAAGGAACCAAAGUUGAUGACCAUCGAUGCAAUUACGCAACUGGGGGAAGAUUAUACUGAGGUAGCUCUUUU